Molecule: long non-coding RNA, 2907 nt
Filed under: Marmota monax (woodchuck)
Lineage: Eukaryota; Metazoa; Chordata; Mammalia; Rodentia; Sciuridae
Source: RNAcentral
CCGUGGGUCAUGCCCAGCCCACAAUUCCCUUCCUAUUGGCAGCUGCAGUGUCUGGAGAGGAGCACCGCGUCCUUGGUUGAAAGGAAGCUCGAGCACUUCGGUGGGUCACCGUCCCACCCGUCUGCUGGAGUCAGUUUUGCCACCUGCCUGACCCUGGGCCUUUGGAGCUGGUGACCCAGCAGGCAGGAUCUGCACGCUGUGUGAGCAGGACGCUGUGUUUCCACCCCCUACUGCGUGGAGUGCUAUCCACAGUGAGAAGCUUGAGGUGCCGACUGGGGAGACCUGUGGGGACGGAGCACCCACACGCUGGCCUGAGCAUGAGACUGCAGGCUCCACAGGCACGUGGCCAGCCUUGUCUGUGGUGCACAAAUAACCGUGGACUUCCCUGGCAUCACUCUUCCGUGGCACGGACACCAGAUCCUCAUGUUCACCUGUGCCCUGUGCUAAAAGCUUGAUAGAAAAGCCCUCCAUCGAAUGGUAAUGAAAAGGUCAUGUCUCAGGGCUUGGAAACAUCAUAGCUUCCCCAGGAAUGUCUGGGAAGCGGGUUCUUGUAGCCUGCCGGUAGUCGGUAUGGAAAUAAAUGCAGCAGCCAUGAAAACGUGCCAAUCCCAGAUCUUGGCCCUCAGAAGGAAUAUGAUGGGCACCUGGUGGGCCUUAACAUCCUCAGGCCUGGAAAACCCCCAUCUGGGGAGUUGCAGGCAGAUGCUGCUUUCCAGGGCAGAGCUGCCAUUUCUCUUUGGGGCCACAUCAAUUAGACUCCUUUGGUGCAUCAACGGGGACACUGGCUGUUAGCAGGAGGAUUCCACUGGGAGGAUGGGGGGUAGCUCGAGGAACAGGAAUGGAGGCUCUUUGGCAGAACUAGAGAGCAGGUAGCAAGCACUUCCAGACAGGCUUUUGGGGGCUGCUUUUAGGAUGAGUGAUGGUUUGUUUUCAGCCUUGUUGAAACCAGGUCUGGAUUCUAGGGAAGCGCCUAUCUGAUUCUUCAUCUUGGGAGGAAGGAUCCUUUGGCUGACAAUUCUGCCAUGAAUGGCGGCCAGGGGCUGGGGGUCAAAUAAAAUUCUGAUGCUGGUUUCAGAAGAUGGGGUCUCAUUGCCCAGAGGCAGCUGCCAGGGCAGGCCUCCCCUUUGCCCUGGGGUGGGCGUGGGGUGGCUUCCCAGACCUCUUGGUUCAAUAGCUCUAAGGCAGGGGGCAGGGUUCACCCGGCCUACUCAGACUCUCAGGGCAAGGCCUCUCUAGGUCCAGGGUGAGUGCUCUGAGCAGCUUGUUACCAAACAGGUAAAACGGGUCAUUUAAAAAGCUGAGGGCAAGUUUUUGUCAAUGGUAAUAAACCGAGUGGAUUUUCAGUCCUGGCAGGGGCCCAAAUUCAUUCUUCUAAGGGUGAGGACAAAGGAUUUUGUUGUUGAGAUGGAGAGAGAGAUGGAGAUGCGUGGUGGCUCACCUCCUUCCCCUUUGGAAGCCAGUCGACAGGCAGCAAAGGCCCUUAGAGAGGAGGCCUCAGAGCCCUGGGCGUCCCCGGAACCUUUCGAGAUCAGCAAGACCAAAAGAAUCUUCACAGUGAUACUGAAAUAUGAUCUGCCCUUUCUGGGCUGGACUUGGCACUGAUGGUGCAUGACCAGAGGGGAGGGGAACGGUUCCAAGGCAGACACCAGAUGGCACUUCAAGGACUCUUGACGGCCACACAGGCAGGAGCAAAGCAAACCCAAAUGCUUUGGAGAGCGUCCUGGGUGAGCGUGUCUGUUUCACUCACCCGCUGCCCGAGGCAGGGCCAGCCCUGCGCGUGCUGGGGUCUCAGCUCAGCCCGAUUCUCCCUCCAGACCCCCUUUCACCUAAAGAGUGGCUGGCACACUGUGGCUUUUCACACAGGAGCAGGUGUGGUCGUUUUCUCUGAAGAAGUGACUGUCACUUCAAGGUAACCAACUACCAGUAUUGGUUUCUAAUGAUAAAAUUUGUGCUUACAAGCAAAAAUUCGAAUUUUAGAAACUGGUAUCCACCAUCAUAGACUUAACGGCUUCCACUACUUGAAGAUGUUUCUGGUGAUACUGGUGGUGACAGUGAUCUAUGUAGGCUUUGGGGGGGGGGUAUUUUGGGGGGCACUUAACCAUGGAGCCACAUCCCCAGACCCUUUCUAAAAAAUAUUUAAAAUUUGAGACAGGGUCUCACUAGGUUGCUUACAGAUAUGCUACGUUGCUGAGGCUGGCUUCAAAUCUGUGAUCCUCCUCCCUCAGCCUCCCAAGCUGCGGGGAUGACAGGCGCGGACACUGAGCCCCGAUGGCAUGCUCAGUUUUGAAUGCUGUACAAUGAAGCCUGCUAACCUUGGAAGACCUACUUAACAGUUUGUUUGAAACAAUACUUUCCAAAUAUUGAAUGUAUAAUGUUACAAAGAUUCAUUCAAACUGUAAGUUAGAGGAUUUUAAUGUAACAGAGCUUGAAAAGUUCAUUGAUAUGCUUUCACAUUCCAUGCUAUAAAACCUUUAGAAAUGAUCAUUAGUUGAGUUUUGAUGUGGUAUCAAAGCAAAAUAUCUGUAAUUAUCUGGCAGUAUUAAAAUAUCUUUCCUUUUCCAACUAUAUGUCUGUGUGAGGCUGGAUUUUUCUUCACAUGCUUCAACCAAAGCAAUACCUUGUAAAACACUGAACCCAGCUGUUUUUGAUUAAGCCAGACAUUAAGGUUGUAAAGGUGUAAAGCUACUCCAAAAAAUUGGAAAACAACUGUUUUGUAUAAAAAUGUCCUUUAUGAGCUGGGCGCAGUGGUGCAUGCCUGUAAGUCCAGCAGUUUGGGAGGCUGAGACAGGAGGAUAGUGAGUUCAAAGCCAGCCUCAGCAAAAGCAAGGCACUAAGCAACUCAGUGAGACCCUGUCUCUAAAUAAAAUACAUGGGGCUCAGUGGUCAAGUGCCCCUGAGUUCAAUCCC